AGGGGUAACACCGUGAAAGAAGUUUGAUCCUGCGCUCAGAUGGGUAGCUUGCUCCCUGCUGUUAGCGGCGGACGGGUGAGUAACACGUGGGUAACCUGCCUGUAAGACUGGGAUAACUCCGGGAAACCGGGGCUAAUACCGGAUGGUUGUUUGAACCGCAUGGUUCAGACAUAAAAGGUGGCUUCGGCUACCACUUACAGAUGGACCCGCGGCGCAUUAGCUAGUUGGUGAGGUAACGGCUCACCAAGGCGACGAUGCGUAGCCGACCUGAGAGGGUGAUCGGCCACACUGGGACUGAGACACGGCCCAGACUCCUACGGGAGGCAGCAGUAGGGAAUCUUCCGCAAUGGACGAAAGUCUGACGGAGCAACGCCGCGUGAGUGAUGAAGGUUUUCGGAUCGUAAAGCUCUGUUGUUAGGGAAGAACAAGUGCCGUUCAAAUAGGGCGGCACCUUGACGGUACCUAACCAGAAAAGCCACGGGCUAACUACGUGCCAGCAGCCGCGGUAAUACGUAGGUGGCAGCGUU
Molecule: ribosomal RNA, 527 nt
Filed under: Bacillus velezensis
Lineage: Bacteria; Bacillati; Bacillota; Bacilli; Caryophanales; Bacillaceae
Description: bacterial SSU rRNA
Rfam family: Bacterial small subunit ribosomal RNA
Source: RNAcentral